AUAAGCGCACACGGUGGAUGCCUUGGCGGUCAGAGGCGAUGAAGGACGUGGCAGCCUGCGAAAAGUGUCGGGGAGCUGGCAACAAGCUUUGAUCCGGCAAUGUCCGAAUGGGGAAACCCACUGCUUCGGCAGUAUCCUGCAGUGAAUUCAUAGCUGCUGGAAGCGAACCCGGUGAACUGAAAUAUCUAAGUAACCGGAGGAAAAGAAAUCAACCGAGAUUCCCUAAGUAGUGACGAGCGAACGGGGACUAGCCCUUAAGCUGGUAUGGUUUUAGAAAAACAACCUGGAAAGGUUGGCCAUAGAAGGUGAUAGCCCUGUAUUUAAAAGGGCCAUACCAGUGAAGACGAGUAGGGCGGGGCACGUGAAACCCUGUCUGAACAUGGGGGGACCAUCCUCCAAGGCUAAAUACUCCUGACCGACCGAUAGUGAACCAGUACCGUGAGGGAAAGGCGAAAAGAACCCCGGAGAGGGGAGUGAAAUAGAUCCUGAAACCGUGUGCGUACAAGCAGUAGGAGCUCGUAAGAGUGACUGCGUACCUUUUGUAUAAUGGGUCAGCGACUUACUGUUCGUGGCAAGCUUAACCGUAUAGGGGAGGCGAAGGGAAACCGAGUCUGAUAAGGGCGCAUAGUCGCGGGCAGUAGACCCGAAACCGGGUGAUCUAGUCAUGCCCAGGGUGAAGGUCAGGUAACACUGACUGGAGGCCCGAACCCACUCCCGUUGCAAAGGUAGGGGAUGAGGUGUGAUUAGGAGUGAAAAGCUAAUCGAACCCGGAGAUAGCUGGUUCUCCUCGAAAGCUAUUUAGGUAGCGCCUCAUAUGUAUCCUCUCGGGGGUAGAGCACUGUUAUGGCUAGGGGGUCAUCGCGACUUACCAAACCAUUGCAAACUCCGAAUACCGAGACGGACUGUAUGGGAGACACACGGCGGGUGCUAACGUCCGUCGUGAAAAGGGAAACAACCCAGACCCACAGCUAAGGUCCCAAAUUCACUGCUAAGUGGAAAACGAUGUGGAAAGGCAUAGACAGCCAGGAGGUUGGCUUAGAAGCAGCCACCCUUUAAAGAAAGCGUAAUAGCUCACUGGUCGAGUCGGUCUGCGCGGAAGAUUUAACGGGGCUAAGCAGUGAACCGAAGCUUGGGGUGCAUCGCGUUAAGCGAUGCGCGGUAGAGGAGCGUUCCGUAAGCCUGCGAAGGUGGAUUGAGAAGUCUGCUGGAGGUAUCGGAAGUGCGAAUGCUGACAUGAGUAACGAUAAUGCGGGUGAAAAACCCGCACGCCGAAAGCCCAAGGUUUCCUUGCGCAACGUUAAUCGGCGCAGGGUGAGUCGGCCCCUAAGGCGAGGGCGAAAGCCGUAGUCGAUGGGAAGCAGGUUAAUAUUCCUGCACCUCGCGUAAGUGCGAUGGAGGGACGGAGAAGGUUAGGUGUACCGGGCGUUGGUUGUCCCGGGGAAAGGCGGUAGGUUUGGAUCCUUGGCAAAUCCGGGGUCCUUUAAGACCGAGCACCGAGACGAGUCUUUGAGACGAAGUCACUGAUACCACGCUUCCAGGAAAAGCUCCUAAGCUUCAGCUUACGCAGACCGUACCGUAAACCGACACAGGUGGGUAGGAUGAGAAUUCUCAGGCGCUUGAGAGAACUCGGGUGAAGGAACUAGGCAACAUGGCACCGUAACUUCGGGAGAAGGUGCACCCUUUUUGGUGGCUCGUGCGAGCUAUAGCUGAAGAGGGUCGCAGAAACCAGGCCGCUGCGACUGUUUAUCAAAAACACAGCACUCUGCAAACACGAAAGUGGACGUAUAGGGUGUGACGCCUGCCCGGUGCUGGAAGGUUAAUUGAUGGGGUCAGCCGCAAGGCGAAGCUCUUGAUCGAAGCCCCAGUAAACGGCGGCCGUAACUAUAACGGUCCUAAGGUAGCGAAAUUCCUUGUCGGGUAAGUUCCGACCUGCACGAAUGGCGUAACGACAGCGGCGCUGUCUCCACCCGAGACUCAGUGAAAUUGAAAUCGCUGUGAAGAUGCAGCGUUCCCGUGGCAAGACGGAAAGACCCCGUGAACCUUUACUAUAGCUUUACACUGAACGUUGAGUUCGUCUGUGUAGGAUAGGUGGGAGGCUAUGAAACCAUGGCGCUAGCUGUGGUGGAGCCAUCCUUGAAAUACCACCCUGUCGUGCUUGACGUUCUAACCUAGGUCCGUAAUCCGGAUCGGGGACCGUGUAUGGUGGGUAGUUUGACUGGGGCGGUCUCCUCCUAAAGAGUAACGGAGGAGCACGAAGGUACGCUCAGCGCGGUCGGACAUCGCGCACUGUGUGCAAAGGCAUAAGCGUGCUUGACUGCAAGAUCGACGGAUCAAGCAGGUACGAAAGUAGGUCUUAGUGAUCCGGUGGUUCUGUAUGGAAGGGCCAUCGCUCAACGGAUAAAAGGUACUCCGGGGAUAACAGGCUGAUACCGCCCAAGAGUUCAUAUCGACGGCGGUGUUUGGCACCUCGAUGUCGGCUCAUCACAUCCUGGGGCUGUAGUCGGUCCCAAGGGUAUGGCUGUUCGCCAUUUAAAGUGGUACGCGAGCUGGGUUCAGAACGUCGUGAGACAGUUCGGUCCCUAUCUGCCAUGGGCGUUGGAGAUUUGAGAGGGGCUGCUCCUAGUACGAGAGGACCGGAGUGGACGAACCUCUGGUGUUCCGGUUGUCACGCCAGUGGCAUUGCCGGGUAGCUAUGUUCGGAAGCGAUAACCGCUGAAAGCAUCUAAGCGGGAAGCGCGCCUCAAGAUGAGAUCUCCCGGGACACAAGUCCCCUAAAGGAACCAUGUAGACUACGUGGUUGAUAGGUCAGGUGUGUAAGUGCAGCAAUGCAUUGAGCUAACUGAUACUAAUGAUCCGUGCGGCUUGACC
RNAcentral lists this ribosomal RNA (2868 nucleotides) under Xanthomonas albilineans. RNAcentral's name for it is "bacterial LSU rRNA". It matches the Rfam family "Bacterial large subunit ribosomal RNA". The record is from RNAcentral. Lineage: Bacteria; Pseudomonadati; Pseudomonadota; Gammaproteobacteria; Lysobacterales; Lysobacteraceae.